UACAGAGGUGGCAAGCGUUGUUCGGAAUUACUGGGCGUAAAGGGCGCGUAGGCGGUUCGUUAAGUCCUGUGUGAAAUCCCCCGGCUCAACUGGGGAACUGCACAGGAAACUAGCGGGCUUGAGUUCGGGAGAGGGAAGCGGAAUUCCGGGUGUAGCGGUGAAAUGCGUAGAUAUCUGGAGGAACACCGGUGGCGAAGGCGGCGUUCUGGACUGCAACUGACACUGAGAAACGAAAGCCAGGGUAGCAAACGGG
RNAcentral lists this ribosomal RNA (253 nucleotides) under uncultured bacterium. RNAcentral describes it as "partial 16S ribosomal RNA". It matches the Rfam family "Bacterial small subunit ribosomal RNA", at positions 524 to 776 of the family's 1533-position model. The record is from RNAcentral.